GUAAAAUAUCAACAAUUGGAAUGCUACAGCAGGACAGGGGUUAUCACCCCUUCACUUACCACAAACAACAGGAUCUCUGUUGCCAUCUGGCCAUUGAGUGAUCCAGUUCCAGAAUCUCAUCCUGAGAGUCGGCUUCCUAGAACGAAUUCCAGUACCUAAGAUUACUGACAUCAGCUGUUGGAAUGGGUCAGCCUGGAGACAAGGAAGAAAGACACCGUGGAGCAUUAGGUGACUUUAACUCCUGGUUAAUGGUGAAUUUCUUCUCAGAAAAGACAAGAUACUCUUGAGGAACUGGCAAAUUACACGGAAGAAUCAGUCACUUUUUCUUAAACCAGCUAUUAAUUAAUGAAAAUGGAUAUAUACCAUCACAUUAUAGAGAGAAAAAUGAAGAGAUUGUGCAUCUAGGUGCUUUAAACAUCUUUGAGCCGCUAAUAUGUAUAAGGCAGAACUGGAGUGUCUAACAGAAAUAUAAUGCAAGCUGUAUAUGUAAUUUUAAAUUUUUUGCUUUAUACAGAAAAGUAUAAAGUAACAGCUUACUACAAGUCCUUCUGCUGCUCUUCCUACCACCCCUGAAAAAAAAAAAAAGAGAGAGAGAGAGAGAGAGAGAGAAUCAUACGAAGUCAACUUAUUGCAUACUAGAAUAAAACUGGAUUUGACAACUUUGUUGUA
RNAcentral lists this long non-coding RNA (669 nucleotides) under Equus caballus (horse). Its description in RNAcentral is "lncRNA (ENSECAG00000052414.1)". Lineage: Eukaryota; Metazoa; Chordata; Mammalia; Perissodactyla; Equidae. The record is from RNAcentral.